CCUACGGGAGGCUGCAGUAAGGAAUAUUGGUCAAUGGACGCAAGUCUGAACCAGCCAUGCCGCGUGGAGGAUGAAGGUCCUCUGGAUUGUAAACUUCUUUUAUCUGGGACGAAACACUUCUUUUCUAAGAGGCCUGACGGUACCAGAUGAAUAAGCACCGGCUAACUCCGUGCCAGCAGCCGCGGUAAUACGGAGGGUGCAAGCGUUAUCCGGAUUCACUGGGUUUAAAGGGUGCGUAGGUGGGUAUGUAAGUCAGAGGUGAAAUCCCCGAGCUUAACUUGGGAACUGCCUUUGAUACUAUAUAUCUUGAAUGCCGUAGAGGUAAGCGGAAUAUGUCAUGUAGCGGUGAAAUGCUUAGAUAUGACAUGGAACACCAAUUGCGAAGGCAGCUUACUAUGCGGUUAUUGACACUGAGGCACGAAAGCGUGGGUAGCAAACAG
Molecule: ribosomal RNA, 440 nt
Filed under: uncultured bacterium
Lineage: Bacteria
Description: bacterial SSU rRNA
Rfam family: Bacterial small subunit ribosomal RNA
Source: RNAcentral